This 130-nucleotide unclassified non-coding RNA is filed under the name Oryza sativa (Asian cultivated rice). RNAcentral describes it as "partial microRNA MIR440h precursor". Lineage: Eukaryota; Viridiplantae; Streptophyta; Magnoliopsida; Poales; Poaceae. The record is from RNAcentral.
UUUCCAGCAGAGCAAUUUUAUAGUCUUUUAGGAGGUACCAUUAGGUAUUAAAACUUUAGCGUAAAAUAUAAUAGAAAAGGUGGUAUUUUAUGAUACCUUCUCAAGAACUAUAAAUUUGCUCCUUCCAGCA